Alosa alosa (allis shad) is the source of this 944-nucleotide long non-coding RNA. RefSeq lists it as uncharacterized. The transcript has 3 exons. Lineage: Eukaryota; Metazoa; Chordata; Actinopteri; Clupeiformes; Clupeidae. The record is from RefSeq and is a predicted model, not a curated record.
CUUUUAUUUCAGAGGAAUCCGUUCCGCAAGCAAGAAAGCAUUCCAGGAUGGUGUGUGUGCCUGGAAGCCCUGUCUGUCAGCAGAUGUCACUGCCUCCACCAUCUGCAUAUGAGUCAACACCAUACAGGCAACCAGCUCAUUGCCCAGAGCUGGAUGGGUCUAUUAUAACGCCUGCCACUUCAUCUUGGGACCCAGUUGAAGGUACAGUGUCUUUGAAUUUUCCAUUUCCAAGUAAAUACAAUUUCAUGACAAGGAACUUGAGAGUAACUAACUUUUUUUUGUUGUAAACAGCACAUGACUUAUCACACAGAGGGAGGUGGCUUGGCCAUGGAGACGAAAAUAAGAGGAAAAAGAAGACUCACUUAAUUUGUUCACAUAUGCAAGUAUAUAAUGCAUUUAACAACUAAAACUAACACCAUCCAUUUUUCCAUAGCAAUAAGGACAACCAUUACCGCAUGGCACAGCGAAUGGACGCAUUUGAGGAGAAGAUGGAUGAGCUGCUCAUGCUCUUAAGGAGCUCCCAGUCACCUCCCUCUGCCCAGUCGAUGACCUAUUGCUGUCGUCCUGCUCGACAGUCACUGAGCUGCAGGAGAGGAGGAACAAAAUGCCCUCCCUCCAGGACUUGGUCUCUGCCCGCUUAGGUCCCAGAGUACAUCACCAAAGACUCCACAUAUCCUGCACACACACUCUUUAACUUCCUCCCCUCUGGCAGGCGCUACAGAUCCCUGCACACAAAAACAACCAGACACAAGAACAACUCUCUUCCCACUGCCGUCACUCUCCUAAACUGCAGAUAAGUGGGGUCAUCCCCACUUUGACCAUUCACCUGCACAUUACAUACUUUAUCAUUCCAAUAUGUGUCUUGCACACUACAUUUGCACUAUUACUUUGCACUCUACAUCACACUCCAUGUGUACUUAUAUUGGUAUUAUGUCUUAUUUCUA